ACCUGAGCCGAAGUCGGAUGCUUAACUGACUGAGCCACCCAGGCGCCCCAAUGAGCUCUGAAGCAGAAGUCAGUGGUUCUACUGCGAACAACACAAGUAUGUACUUGGGAAGAAAAAAUACAUGUUCAGCCCAGAAGUACAGCAUGAACGACACUUCUAAAAUGUGAGAGAAGAGAUUUUCAUGGAGACUGUCGAGGCAUCUUCUGGUGACCAAGGCAAGUAUUAAACAUUUUUUAAAAACACA
Long non-coding RNA from Felis catus (domestic cat), 244 nucleotides. RefSeq lists it as uncharacterized. The transcript is spliced from 2 exons. Lineage: Eukaryota; Metazoa; Chordata; Mammalia; Carnivora; Felidae. The record is from RefSeq and is a predicted model, not a curated record.